UACGGGGGGGGCAAGCGUUGUUCGGAAUUACUGGGCGUAAAGGGCUCGUAGGCGGCCAACUAAGUCAGACGUGAAAUCCCUCGGCUUAACCGGGGAACUGCAUCUGAUACUGGAUGGCUUGAGUUCGGGAGAGGGAUGCGGAAUUCCAGGUGUAGCGGUGAAAUGCGUAGAUAUCUGGAGGAACACCGGUGGCGAAGGCGACAUCCUGGACCAACACUGACGCUGAGUGAGCGAAAGCCAGGGGAGCAAACGGG
Molecule: ribosomal RNA, 254 nt
Filed under: uncultured bacterium
Lineage: Bacteria
Description: partial 16S ribosomal RNA
Rfam family: Bacterial small subunit ribosomal RNA
Source: RNAcentral